CAUAGACAUUUUCUCUCUGAUGUUGUUCGAACACUGAAAUUCUAGAGGGCAGUAAUGUGACCCUCCUUUGCCUCAUAACAGAAAGGCUUCGGGUUACAACCCCGUCCAGUUGUAGGCGAUAACGCACCACUCAGCUAGUUGAACUGCCACUAAAGAUAAAAUAACGAAUCCAAUAUGGCUGCGCCCAUGGUGUGGAUGUCAAGAUGUAACAAAGACUACAAGUGAUGAUGAAAAUUUAGUCGACUAGUGACUUAACGUAUCAGCCCCCCAUCUACGAGAUCUCGACACUGGAGAACCUGAAUCAUGGAGCCAGGCAUUAUCAAACACAGGCAAAGGAUGCAAAGUUUGUUGUGAAAGAUGCGAGCUGCAUGGUCUACUGUACUUUAUGUCCUUCAGAAUAGAAACGUGGAAUUGUCUAUCGAAAACAUUGAAAAAGGAGUUUACACUCAAUUAUCAUUAAAAAAUGCACGCUUCAACAGCAGCAGCUGAAGUGAUCCAGUUGGGUCGUAUUUCCUAUGCGCGUGCAUUACAGGUACAGCAACUCUAUGUUAGGAGACAUCUGGAUUCUAAAGACAAAUUGCACAAUGCUCUGCUACUGUGUGAACACCAGCCAGUCUACACCAUUAGAAUCAGACAUUCACUAUACCCAUUCGAAGAGUAGCAAAGACUGAAACUCCUUGGUGCUGAAUUCUUUCGUUGCAACCGUGGCAGGCUCAUAACUAUUCAUGGCCUAGGGGAGUUGGUGUGCUACCCAAUAAUCAACUUGGGCUGCUUCAAGAAAAGUGUGAAAUGGAAUCCAUUGUGGAAGAUACAUAACAUCUCAUGGAUUGGCACUGAACUGCAACACAGAUAUGGGCUGGUUUGAAAACAUUGUGCCAUGUGGGAUUGUUGGCAAAGGUGUCACCUCUCUCAGUCAAGAACUGGGAUGAGAAGUCUAUAUUGAAGAGACCAUCCCACGACUGCUGGAAACUUUCAAUGAUCAGUUUGACUGCUUCCUGGAUAAUAUUCUAAUAACAAUUAAACAAUGCACGGUAAAUAAAACAUGUAUAUUUUGACAAUCA
Salmo salar (Atlantic salmon) is the source of this 1061-nucleotide long non-coding RNA. RefSeq lists it as uncharacterized. Lineage: Eukaryota; Metazoa; Chordata; Actinopteri; Salmoniformes; Salmonidae. The record is from RefSeq and is a predicted model, not a curated record.